UUUGGUUCAGUUAGAAAGGGGGCACGGUGGAUGCCUGGAAUCUAGGAGUCUAUGAAGAACGGGACUAACGCCCAUAUGCUUCGGCGAGCUGUAAGUAUGCUUUGAUCCGAAGAUUUCCGAAUGGGGAAACCCCCCAUAAUUAAUGGUAUGGUA
Molecule: ribosomal RNA, 153 nt
Filed under: Bacillus pacificus
Lineage: Bacteria; Bacillati; Bacillota; Bacilli; Caryophanales; Bacillaceae
Description: partial 23S ribosomal RNA
Rfam family: Bacterial large subunit ribosomal RNA
Source: RNAcentral